Molecule: long non-coding RNA, 220 nt
Filed under: Lathyrus oleraceus (garden pea)
Lineage: Eukaryota; Viridiplantae; Streptophyta; Magnoliopsida; Fabales; Fabaceae
Description: Pisum sativum (pea) long non-coding RNA (PSAT_LNC011836)
Source: RNAcentral
UUCACUUGAUCAAUUGAUCAAGAUGAAUUAGAUUUGGAUCAAGGAAGAUUAAAUCUCCCUAAUCAAUGCUAACUUAUCAACCUUCAACUCAUUGAUCAAAAAGAAAAAUGCAAAGCCAUUCACUUGAUCAAUUGAUCAAGAUGAAUUAGAUUUGGAUCAAGGAAGAUUAAAUCUCCCUAAUCAAUGCUAACUUAUCAACCUUCAACUCAUUGAUCAAAAA